Molecule: long non-coding RNA, 2771 nt
Filed under: Mytilus galloprovincialis (Mediterranean mussel)
Lineage: Eukaryota; Metazoa; Mollusca; Bivalvia; Mytilida; Mytilidae
Source: RNAcentral
GGUCUACGCUAAAGUACGAUGGGAUCUCACGCUAAAGUGCGAUGGUCAUGUGUUUGCUAAAGUACGAUGGUAUAGCACGCUAAAGUUUUAUUGAUUACAGUUAAUUUCUACAAAUUAUUAUCUUAUUUUAUCAGGCUAUUGGAGAAUUAAAAGAAAAUCGCCAAAUACAGCUUAAAACAUCUAACGAUUGUGUCCCGGACAGACUGGAAGUUGAUACAUCAUAUCUUUUGGCAGGUAUACUUUCAUUGUCGAGCCUUCGACUUUAGUCGAAAAAGCGAGACAUAGCGAUCCUACAUUCCGUCGGCGUCGGCGUCGUCGUCGUCGGCGGCGUCCAAAAUAUUCACUCUGUGGUUAAAGUUUUUGAAAUUUUAAUAACUUUCUUAAACUAUCCUUGAAUUGUACGAAACUUGGACAGAAGCUUGUUUAUGAUCAGCAGAUAGUAUCCAGAAGUAAAUUUUGUAAAAAUCAAAUUCCAUUUUUCCCGUAUUUUACUUAUAAAUGGACUUAGUUUUUCUUCCAGUUAACAUUACAUACAGUCUGCAGUUAAAGUAUUUAAAACAUUUUUAAGAUUCUUAAACUAGCCUGGAUUUUUACCAAACUUGGACAGAAGCUUCUGACAAUCAAAAGAUAGUAUCGAGAGGAAUAAUUUUAUUGAUUUUUUUCAUUAUUUUUGAUGAGUGUGUGAUUAACAGCAAAAGUGGGCGAGACACUGGGUUCCGCGGAACCCUUACACAUUUUUUUUUAUUAUUAUGUGAAUUGAUUAGAGGAAUUUGUUUGUAGUCUACACGGAUUGCGUAAAACUGAAUGAAGGCAAAUUAUUUUAAAAUUCACAUAAAGCUAUAUUGAAGCUUGGAAAAUUAGUAUUAUCUUCCCAUAGACGAAAAGCAACUACAAGAAUUGUGCACUUUGAUUAAAUAAAAUUCAAAACAAAUAUUUCUUAUAUCUAUUGAUUUACAUGUUACACAGAAAUGAUUCCGUAUGUAAUAACUUACAGGAUUAUCUAAACAUAGAUGCAUAUGAUACUUGAAAUAUGACUCGUACAUUUAUCAACGAUGCGUGCUUUAAAAUAAAAAUAAAAAACGAAUUAUUACAUUAAAUAUAAACGAAUGAUUAAAUAUUUCUUAGCGCCUUUUUUUUAACACUUUAAAUCGAUAUGUUUCGAAGUACGAAAACGGAUGGUGAUAUAACCCUCAUGGUUAAGUGCCAUAUCCAUCGUAUAAUUGUACCAUAUAUCCGGGACCAUAUAUAAGAAUUGCCAUCUGUCGGAUUUUUCUUCACUGUAUAUUGCAUAAUAUCAAAAGUUCAAUAUAGGAUAAAGAACUUAAUUCAUAUAGUUUUUUCACUGACCCCCUUACCCCCUCUUAACUUAAUUUGGGAAAAAUGAUUGACCAAUAAGGAUUUAUAUAAAAUCGAUGUCAAACAAAACUUGCACCCCCAAACUAUUUGAAUUAAGUUUUUUGUCCUUCGUUGAUUUUUUGAUGUCGUUCCCAAGUCAAUUCGUUCCCAAGUCAAUUCUGAUAUCGAUGAUGACGUGACGUCUGACAAAUCUCUUAGUAAUGAAACUGCAAAACGGUUAGCGAUUGUUGCAAUCAGCUUUACUUGUUAUUAAAGAAGACAUAAAUUUAUGAAAAGCACCAAUGUGAUUCUCCUUAGAAAAAGGACUGCGGAAAAAAAAACCCAGAAUCAUCUAUAUACUUACUCGUUGGUUUCGAAGAACAAAAGUUUAAGUGACCACGAAGGUGAUAAAAAAAGAGUGCAAGAAUUCCCCCAAUUACAAUGCAAAACAUACAUUUCGAAGUGAAGACUUAUUUCUCUAGUUCUUCAAGGUGUAGAUGGUAUAACAUUUUCUUAAAUCACAACAAAUUGGAAAGUUUUACUUAUUUGUCUAGGAAAUACCAUCUCAGAACAAGUUUUGCUGUUGUGAUGGAAGAACUUUUUCUAUAUCUAUAACACAUCCAUAUUCUUGACAAACGUUUUCCGGUGAUUUGGCUUAACUAUUGAUAUUAUUUCAAACUUUUUCAUUUGAAACCAAACACAAAAAUAUGUCAGUCAAUUUCUCCAUUAGCACAUUCACAUGGUUUAGCGAGUUACUAAUUCAGUUUGUGUAUCUAUUGCAUCUACGAUUCAUUGUUGUUUUCUGCUUAUGUAUCGAUUGUAUCGGUUGCAUCGACGAUUAAUUGUUGUUUUCUGUUUAUAUAUCGAUAGUAUCGACGAUUCAUUGUUGUUUUCUUUUUUAUUUAUCGAUUACAUCGACGAUUCAUUGUUGUUUUCUGUUUAUGUAUCGAUAGCAUCGACGAUUCAUUGUUGUUUUCUGUUUACAUGUAUUUAUCGAUUGCAUCGACGAUUUUAUGGUUGUUCUUUGUUGAGUUAUCGAAUGCAUUUCGAUUCAUGCUUGUUUUCUGUUUACAAUUUCAGCAAACACUGAUUUGAUAAUCGGAAGAUGUAACAUAGCCAAACUGUCUGAAAAUACAAGUUCAGAGGACGUGAAGUGGCUGCAAGGAGAUAAUACUUGCUCUUAAUUUCUCUCUAUAACUUUAAGAAUGCACUGAGACACUCGAAAUAUACAAUUAAAAGACUUAAUAACAAAUUGCAUCUUAUAAUUAAAAGUCUUUAAACUAUUAAAUGAACUAAAAAAAUCAAAAAAUUGUCAAAACUUGGGACUUUAUACGGAUAUCUAACUACAAUUUUUGAUAACAUGAUACAAAAAAAAAACAAUGACUAAUAUCCUGAGAUAAGUCGUUAAACUAUGACAUCUGUGUGCUAGUUUUUCC